UACUAAUUCAGUUAAGGUAAAAUCUUAAAUGCUCCUAGAGAUUAAAUGCUUCUCUUUAAUUUAUUUACUUUCUCUGUUUUGCAUGAACACCGGAGCCGAAGAGUUUCAUGCUGAAAUUCAAUGAUGCUACCACUUCAUAGAGAUUGCACAUCCUAAUCUUUUCCAGUUCUUACAUCAUAUGCCCAUAAAUAUAGAAAAAAAAAUCUUCUUGGAGCUGAACACGACUUUUUUCUUUUUUGUUUAUUUGCUUAUUGUUGUGCGAUUAACUGUUAAGAUUGUAAUUUAUUUUUACCUAUACAUCACAUAUAGCAAACCUUAUUACCAUUUAUUAAGGCUCAAAUCUAUGUUAAAUAAUUUGUAGCCUAAAAUAACGCCUGUAUUUAUGGCUCCUAAUUAAUCUUUGAUUUUG
This 409-nucleotide long non-coding RNA is filed under the name Nicotiana benthamiana. RNAcentral describes it as "long non-coding RNA (NBEN_LNC004556)". The record is from RNAcentral. Lineage: Eukaryota; Viridiplantae; Streptophyta; Magnoliopsida; Solanales; Solanaceae.